GAGUGGGAUGCCAAAGAAGUAGUUAGUCUACCUUCGGGAGGACGAUUACCACUUUGUGUUUCAUGACUGGGGUGAAGUCGUAACNAGGUAACCCUAGGGGAACCUGGGGUUGGAUCACCUCCUUACCAAAAGUCGACAGGCAUUUUUGAUGCAGUGCCUACACAGAUUGUUUUGUAUUUAAUGAACGAGAACAAGAACCGAAUAAAAUGGGGCUAUAGCUCAGCUGGGAGAGCGCCUGAUUUGCAUUCAGGAGGUCAGCAGUUCGAUCCUGCUUAGCUCCACCACUUUUUGAAGGCUUGUAGCUCAGCUGGUUAGAGCGCACCCCUGAUAAGGGUGAGGUCGGCAGUUCAAGUCUGCCCAAGCCUACCACCUCUACUUAGUUUUGCUGGCUUGCGUUCUGCGAUGCUCAUGUGCUGAUUGCACACUGCGCUUCUCGAACACAACCCACCUUCACUAAGCGAGUUGGUCUGAGUAAUUAAAAUAAAUAAAAAGAAUACACAUUAAUGAAGUUGAUUUAUUGAUGUGUGUUUUUGCCGCAAGGCGAAAGUGAAACACAAUCUGUUCUUUAACAAUUUGGAAAGCUGAUAUUAGUAAUCAAUCAAAUAUGAGUAACUGAGAAAAAUAUCGAAAGGUGUUUUUUCAAGUAGCUACUCUAUCUGACGAUUCAAAAGCAUGCAUAAACCGGUUAAGGCGUUGUCGCAAACGUUCUUAAUAAUGCAUGUUGAUUAGUAAAUCAUGCAUACAACAAGUCCUAGGUCCGAUUUCAAAAGGCGGACAGUAGAUGAACAUCUACAGGCGAUGUUAUUACCAGCGUAUUAACUACUCAUGGUUAAUAAAGAGGUGAUAGCGCAACUUGUUAUUUCUCACAUCAAACCUAGUUUGGUAGGGGAAGAACAAAGGCGAAGAGAAGGAAGCAAAGACGAAGCUAUUUAGGGUUGNAUGAANNGNGUGAUUAAGCGUAUACGGUG
This 968-nucleotide unclassified non-coding RNA is filed under the name uncultured bacterium. Its description in RNAcentral is "partial contains 16S ribosomal RNA, 16S-23S ribosomal RNA intergenic spacer, and 23S ribosomal RNA". The stretch from base 1 to 125 matches the Rfam family "Bacterial small subunit ribosomal RNA", at positions 1408 to 1533 of the family's 1533-position model. The record is from RNAcentral.